RNAcentral lists this ribosomal RNA (388 nucleotides) under uncultured bacterium. RNAcentral describes it as "bacterial SSU rRNA". It matches the Rfam family "Bacterial small subunit ribosomal RNA", at positions 28 to 417 of the family's 1533-position model. The record is from RNAcentral.
GACGAACGCUGGCGGCGUGCUUAACACAUGCAAGUCGAGCGGUAAGGCCCUUUCGGGGGUACACGAGCGGCGAACGGGUGAGUAACACGUGGGUGACCUGCCCUCAGCUCUGGGAUAAGCCCGGGAAACUGGGUCUAAUACCGGAUAUGACUCCAUGACGCAUGUUGUGGGGUGGAAAGCCUUGUGCGGCUGAGGAUGGGCCCGCGGCCUAUCAGCUUGUUGGUGGGGUGAGGCCUACCAAGGCGACGACGGGUAGCCGGCCUGAGAGGGCGACCGGCCACACUGGGACUGAGACACGGCCCAGGACUCCUACGGGAGGCAGCAGUGGGGAAUCUUGCGCAAUGGGCGAAAGCCUGACGCAGCGACGCCGCGUGAGGGAUGACGGCCU